Molecule: non-coding RNA, 2145 nt
Organism: Misgurnus anguillicaudatus (oriental weatherfish)
Lineage: Eukaryota; Metazoa; Chordata; Actinopteri; Cypriniformes; Cobitidae
Source: RefSeq, a predicted model, not a curated record
AAAGGUAAGGUGCUUAAAAGGACCUUGUAAGACUUCGUCACUAAUGUUCAUUAAAGAGAAAAUAAAAAGAAAUCUGUGUUUUGUAGCUUUAAUGAUAAUUCUUACUGUAUGUAUUUCAUUUAGAAUUUAGCAUUAAAGACUGUAAAGUGUUUGAGGAUUUAAUUUAAAUUCUGUAUAUUUCACACUAUUUUUUUAUUGAACAUUGUGUUUUGAAAAAUACAUCACUAGUCAAUUGCAACCUCAAGUUAAUGUAGACUUUAAGGAACUUGUUUGUCUGAAAGUGGAUAUAUAAAGAUUUUUUGUUUUAAGAUGCUGCAUGGAAUGACAAUGUGGUUUGGAACAGACUUGGUGAAGAACAUGGAAACAUCUCUUAAUAAAAUGGCCCCAAACAUCAUCAGGAGUGCAAAAGAAGGAAGUAAAAACAUCUCUACGCCAAUCUCAUUGGAGAGGAAACCACAGAAGGUCUGGUGAGGAAUGCUGCACUUAUGUUAUUGCAAGCAUUAUUUCAAGAAAAUCCCAGCUUCCUUUACUGUGUAAAUAGUGAACCCAAAGGUCCCACACCAACCAUAGUGUUCAACGGCUCUCCUGAUCUUUUCAAAUCUGAAUGUAUCAACUUUAUAAUGGACAAUGUGAACUUAAUAUGUGGAAGACAUUGACAUCACAGGCUGUGGAAUGACUGUGUCACAGGUCGGAGAAGUGGACCGCCCCUGUCGCGGAUCACGCUCCUCCUAGUUCCACCUCGAGGAGGUCCCAAAGCACCCCAAUGACCAGACAAACCAGAGAUAAGUAAAAUAUAGAAAUAGAAACUUUAUUUAAAUUAUUUAAAACUAAAGUGGGGAAUGGGAAAGGGACUAAAAAAAUCUCGCUUCUCGUCCUCAGGGGGAGUAUUACGGGGCCAGGGACGUUGGAGGGGUUUCCACGUGACUCCAGCUGGAACACCGCUACAGAGCAUAUCUGGGUGGGUUGGGCACACACCGUCGUGGCGGCCCCUGAUGGCAUCCACAAGGGUCCAAGACCCUCCUAAGCUCCUAGCCGUAGCAGAACUACAUAUUUCAGCACCCGAAGGACUAACAACCCAGCCGGCAUCUGCAGCGUAUAUCCAACGCGAUCAAACUUCACUCUGACAAGUAACUUCCUAUACACAACCACGCCGUCCUUUCGCCCGGACCAGCCCCGCACUCUUUCCGCCCGCUACCUAGCGGUCGCCGGAUCAGGAGAGCCUGCGGACUCUUCGGAGGCUGGUCUUCGUUGUGCUGCCCAAGGCGGAAGUUGACUCGCCCGAAAAUCGACCCUUUCAGUAACUUCUACCUUCUCUCUUUAUAUCCUCCUCCCAGGCGUGGCGAGCCUGGGAGGAGGAUAUAACAGCUGUGCCUUGUUUCAGCGAGUGCGGGGAUUCCCGGGGAACCCUGAAGUGCCGGUGUCUGUACAAACUGGUCCGGGCGGAACCUCUUCACUCUCCUUUUGGUUCCGCCCCGCAUAGUCACUCCGUGACAACUGUUUGCGUUUUUUUUUCUCCUCAAUGUUCAAUACCCUUUUGCCAUUAAGCACACAGUGACUUUAAUUUAUAAAAUAUAUGCUUAAGUUUUAAUACCUGUACAAAACAAAUGUACAAUCAACUUGUGUAAAUUUUAAUAAAAAUUUAAGCUUUAAUUGCUUGUUCAUGUUAGUUCAGAGUGCAUUAACUAAUGUUAACAAGAUUUUAAUAAAGUAAUUGUUGAAAUUAACAUUAACAAAGAUUAAUAAAGGCUGUAUAAGUGCAGUUCAUUAUUAGUUCAUGUUAACUAAUGUAGCUAACUAAUGUUAACUAAUGAACCUUAUUGUAAAGUGUUACCGUGAUUUCUUUUCAUCAUUUCAGACACAUGUAAAAGUUACUAAAAAUUAAUACUGCAUAUACUGUACAGUAUCUAUACGUAAGGGAAAUAAACACAAUUUUUAAUGUAUAGUGUAAUUAAGAGUUUAGCUGUUUAAUACAGAGAUGCAAUUUAUUUAUAUAUAUUAUUUAUAUAUAAAAGUAUGUAUGUUUAUUAAAAAGUGAAAAUGCUUAAUGGAAAUAAUUAAAUAACUAAAUGGUUGAAUGUAAUGAGACAUUUUAAAUGUAAACUAAAGUUUUGCUGUCUAAUACAGAAUAAAGAGAUGUGAUUUUAA